RNAcentral lists this ribosomal RNA (958 nucleotides) under Listeria monocytogenes. RNAcentral's name for it is "partial 23S ribosomal RNA". It matches the Rfam family "Bacterial large subunit ribosomal RNA", at positions 241 to 1195 of the family's 2925-position model. Lineage: Bacteria; Bacillati; Bacillota; Bacilli; Caryophanales; Listeriaceae. The record is from RNAcentral.
GAGUAGCGGCGAGCGAAACGGAAAGAGCCCAAACCAAGAAGCUUGCUUCUUGGGGUUGUAGGACACUCUAUACGGAGUUACAAAAGAAAGUUAUAAAUGAAGCGGUCUGGAAAGGCCCGCCAAAGACGGUAACAGCCCGGUAGUUGAAAUGGCUUUCCCUCCAGAGUGGAUCCUGAGUACGGCGGAACACGUGAAAUUCCGUCGGAAUCCGGGAGGACCAUCUCCCAAGGCUAAAUACUCCCUAGUGACCGAUAGUGAACCAGUACCGUGAGGGAAAGGUGAAAAGCACCCCGGAAGGGGAGUGAAACAGUUCCUGAAACCGUGUGCCUACAAGUAGUUAGAGCCCGUUAAUGGGUGAUAGCGUGCCUUUUGUAGAAUGAACCGGCGAGUUACGAUUUGUUGCAAGGUUAAGCGGAAAAAGCGGAGCCGUAGCGAAAGCGAGUCUGAAUAGGGCGCAUAAGUAACAGGUCGUAGACCCGAAACCAGGUGAUCUACCCAUGUCCAGGAUGAAGGUAAGGUAAUACUUACUGGAGGUCCGAACCCACGCACGUUGAAAAGUGCGGGGAUGAGGUGUGGGUAGCGGAGAAAUUCCAAUCGAACUUGGAGAUAGCUGGUUCUCUCCGAAAUAGCUUUAGGGCUAGCCUCGAGGUAAAGAGUCAUGGAGGUAGAGCACUGUUUGGACUAGGGGCCCUUCUCGGGUUACCGAAUUCAGAUAAACUCCGAAUGCCAUGUACUUAUACUCGGGAGUCAGACUGCGAGUGAUAAGAUCCGUAGUCGAAAGGGAAACAGCCCAGACCACCAGUUAAGGUCCCCAAAUAUAUGUUAAGUGGAAAAGGAUGUGGGGUUGCUUAGACAACCAGGAUGUUGGCUUAGAAGCAGCCACCAUUGAAAGAGUGCGUAAUAGCUCACUGGUCGAGUGACCCCGCGCCGAAAAUGUACCGGGGCUAAACAUAUUACC